This 333-nucleotide ribosomal RNA is filed under the name uncultured bacterium. RNAcentral's name for it is "bacterial SSU rRNA". It matches the Rfam family "Bacterial small subunit ribosomal RNA", at positions 29 to 351 of the family's 1533-position model. The record is from RNAcentral.
AACGAACGCUGGCGGCGUGCUUAAUACAUGCAAGUCGAACGAGAAACCGGGCUUCGGCCCGGGAGUAAAGUGGCGAACGGGUGAGUAACACGUGGAUAAUCUACCUUUAAGUCUGGGAUAAUCUUCCGAAAGGGGGUCUAAUACCGGAUGACACCUUUUGACGGCAUCGUCGAAAGAUCAAAGGCGGGGCAACCUGUCGCUUAGAGAUGAGUCCGCGCUCCAUUAGCUUGUUGGUGAGGUAAAAGCUCACCAAGGCGACGAUGGAUAGCCGGCCUGAGAGGGUGAACGGCCACACUGGGACUGAGAUACGGCCCAGACUCCUACGGGAGGCAG